AACUUUCAGCAACGGAUCACUUGGUUCUGGCAUCGAUGAAGAACGCAGCGAAAUGCGAUAAGUAAUGCGAAUUGCAGAAUUUCCGUGAGUCAUCGAAUCUUUGAACGCACAUUGCGCCCACUGGUAUUCCGGUGGGCAUGCCUGUUCGAGCGUCAUUAUCCUCCCUCAAACCUCGGGUUUGGUGUUGGACCCAAGUUGUGUGAACAACUGGUCUCAAAGACAAUGACGGCGUCCGUGGGACCCUCGGUGCAACGAGCUUUUAACGAGCACGCGUCGAGUUUCAAGGACCUUCCGGGCCGGUCUCCUUCUUUUAUUUACAAAGGUUGACCUCGGAUCAGGUAGGAAUACCCGCUGAACUUAAGCAUAUCAAUAAGCGGAGGCU
This 382-nucleotide unclassified non-coding RNA is filed under the name uncultured Chaetothyriales. RNAcentral's name for it is "sequence contains ITS2". The stretch from base 1 to 155 matches the Rfam family "5.8S ribosomal RNA". Lineage: Eukaryota; Fungi; Ascomycota; Eurotiomycetes; Chaetothyriales. The record is from RNAcentral.